This 799-nucleotide ribosomal RNA is filed under the name uncultured bacterium. Its description in RNAcentral is "bacterial SSU rRNA". It matches the Rfam family "Bacterial small subunit ribosomal RNA", at positions 8 to 796 of the family's 1533-position model. The record is from RNAcentral.
AGAGUUUGAUCCUGGCUCAGAGUGAACGCUGGCGGCAGGCCUAACACAUGCAAGUCGAACGGCAGCACAGCAGUAGCAAUACUGUGGGUGGCGAGUGGCGGACGGGUGAGGAAUACAUCGGAAUCUACCUUGUCGUGGGGGAUAACGUAGGGAAACUUACGCUAAUACCGCAUACGACCUACGGGUGAAAGCGGAGGACCGCAAGGCUUCGCGCGAUAAGAUGAGCCGAUGUCGGAUUAGCUAGUUGGCGGGGUAAUGGCCCACCAAGGCGACGAUCCGUAGCUGGUCUGAGAGGAUGAUCAGCCACACUGUAACUGAGACACGGUCCAGACUCCUACGGGAGGCAGCAGUGGGGAAUAUUGGACAAUGGGCGCAAGCCUGAUCCAGCCAUGCCGCGUGCAGGAAGAAGGCCUUCGGGUUGUAAACUGCUUUUGUACGGAACGAAACGGUCCUGGUUAAUACCUGGGGCUAAUGACGGUACCGUAAGAAUAAGCACCGGCUAACUACGUGCCAGCAGCCGCGGUAAUACGUAGGGCGCAAGCGUUAAUCGGAAUUACUGGGCGUAAAGCGUGCGCAGGCGGUUUUGUAAGACAGGCGUGAAAUCCCCGGGCUUAACCUGGGAAUGGCGCUUGUGACUGCAAAGCUGGAGUGCGGCAGAGGGGGAUGGAAUUCCGCGUGUAGCAGUGAAAUGCGUAGAUAUGCGGAGGAACACCGAUGGCGAAGGCAAUCCCCUGGGCCUGCACUGACGCUCAUGCACGAAAGCGUGGGGAGCAAACAGGAUUAGAUACCCUGGUAGUCC